CCCUUAGAUGUUCUGGGCAGCACGCGCGCUACAAUGGUCUUCGCAAACGGAUGCAUUCUCGAAGGAGAAUGCCAAUCUUGGAAUCUAUGCCUUGGUCGGGACAGUUGCUUGCAAUUUUUCGACUCGAACCAGGAAUUCCUUGUAAUCGUGAUUCAUCACAUCACGAUGAAUACGUCCCUGCCCUUUGUACAAACCGCCCGUCGCUCCUACCGAUCGAAGAGUUAGGUGAAUUGUUUUGAUCGAUAAGAUUUGACUAUGGUCAACUCUCGUUGUGAAAUUCUGUGAAUCUGACUGUUUAGAGGAAGGAAAAGUCGUAACA
Molecule: ribosomal RNA, 319 nt
Filed under: uncultured eukaryote
Lineage: Eukaryota
Description: partial 18S ribosomal RNA
Rfam family: Eukaryotic small subunit ribosomal RNA
Source: RNAcentral